Molecule: ribosomal RNA, 1026 nt
Filed under: uncultured bacterium
Lineage: Bacteria
Description: bacterial SSU rRNA
Rfam family: Bacterial small subunit ribosomal RNA
Source: RNAcentral
GGGGAGGGAGCAGUGGGGGAUAUUGCACAAUGGGGGAAACCUGUAUGCAGCGACGCCGCGUGAGGGAAGACGGCCUUCGGGUUGUAAACCUCUGUCUUGGGGACGAAUAAAUGACGGUACCCGAGGAGGAAGCCACGGCUAACUACGUGCCAGCAGCCGCGGUAAUACGUAGGUGGCAAGCGUUGUCCGGAAUUACUGGGUGUAAAGGGAGCGUAGGCGGGGAGGCAAGUUGAAUGUCUAAACUAUCGGCUCAACUGAUAGUCGCGUUCAAAACUGCCACUCUUGAGUGCAGUAGAGGUAGGCGGAAUUCCUAGUGUAGCGGUGAAAUGCGUAGAUAUUAGGAGGAACACCAGUGGCGAAGGCGGCCUACUGGGCUGUAACUGACGCUGAGGCUCGAAAGCGUGGGUAGCAAACAGGAUUAGAUACCCUGGUAGUCCACGCCGUAAACGAUGAUUACUAGGUGUGGGGGGACUGACCCCCUUCCGUGCCGGAGUUAACACAAUAAGUAAUCCACCUGGGGAGUACGGCCGCAAGGCUGAAACUCAAAGGAAUUGACGGGGGCCCGCACAAGCAGUGGAGUAUGUGGUUUAAUUCGAAGCAACGCGAAGAACCUUACCAGGUCUUGACAUCGAGUGACGAACAUAGAGAUAUGUUCUUCUUCGGGACACGAAGACAGGUGGUGCAUGGUUGUCGUCAGCUCGUGUCGUGAGAUGUUGGGUUAAGUCCCGCAACGAGCGCAACCCUUAUGGUCAGUUACUACGCAAGAGGACUCUGGCCACACUGCCGUUGACAAAACGGAGGAAGGUGGGGAUGACGUCAAAUCAUCAUGCCCUUUAUGACUUGGGCUACACACGUACUACAAUGGCGUUAAACAAAGAGAAGCAAGACCGCGAGGUGGAGCAAAACUCAGAAACAACGUCCCAGUUCGGACUGCAGGCUGCAACUCGCCUGCACGAAGUCGGAAUUGCUAGUAAUCGUGGAUCAGCAUGCCACGGUGAAUACGUUCCCGGGCCUUGUACACACCGC